Molecule: microRNA precursor, 83 nt
Filed under: Ovis aries (sheep)
Lineage: Eukaryota; Metazoa; Chordata; Mammalia; Artiodactyla; Bovidae
Description: miRNA (ENSOARG00000023535.1, ENSOARG00020047695.1)
Source: RNAcentral
AAUUGUGUUGGCCAAAAAGCUCAUUCGGGUUUUUCCAUAAGAAGUUAUGAAGAAACCUGGAUGAACUUUUUGGCCAACCUAAU